AGGCAAAUUUCUUAAAAUUGCAGCAGAUGUGUUAAUGUUUCCACUAGCUGAUCUGUUUAAUUUGUCACUUAAAACAGCAACGUUUCCUUCCAAUUGGAAAACACCCAGAGUUACUCCUUCUUUUUAAAGGUCACCCAAAUGAUAAUGAAAGCUGUUUACUAUAGUCAAAAUAACCCGAGUGAACGUACUAAGACAGCAGCAGUGUAGAGUAGAGUCCAUUCACACCGGCCUUUCUCUCUUAGACUCGGACGGAGAUUCCGUUUCUGGACAGAAGAGGCUUCGCUGCUUCUGCUGGAACUCUGCAGCUGAUCUUCAGAGUUCAACAGAUGGCCACAUCCACACCUGAAGAUGUUUUGACAACAGAAAGAGAAGACCAACUGAGGACACUUUAUCCAGAGAUACUCACCGGGCUGCUGCAAUCCCUUUUAUGGACAACUAAACUAUGACUAAUUUCA
Oryzias melastigma (Indian medaka) is the source of this 455-nucleotide long non-coding RNA. RefSeq lists it as uncharacterized. The record is from RefSeq and is a predicted model, not a curated record. Lineage: Eukaryota; Metazoa; Chordata; Actinopteri; Beloniformes; Adrianichthyidae. The transcript is spliced from 2 exons.